This 451-nucleotide ribosomal RNA is filed under the name uncultured organism. RNAcentral describes it as "partial 16S ribosomal RNA". It matches the Rfam family "Bacterial small subunit ribosomal RNA", at positions 334 to 801 of the family's 1533-position model. The record is from RNAcentral.
CACUCCUACGGGAGGCAGCAGUGGGGAAUAUUGGACAAUGGGCGCAAGCCUGAUCCAGCCAUGCCGCGUGAGUGAUGAAGGCCCUAGGGUUGUAAAGCUCUUUUACCGGUGAAGAUAAUGACGGUAACCGGAGAAGAAGCCCCGGCUAACUUCGUGCCAGCAGCCGCGGUAAUACGAAGGGGGCUAGCGUUGUUCGGAUUUACCGGGCGUAAAGCGCACGUAGGCGGACUAUUAAGUCAGGGGUGAAAUCCCGGGGCUCAACCCCGGAACUGCCUUUGAUACUGGUAGUCUUGAGUUCGAGAGAGGUGAGUGGAAUUCCGAGUGUAGAGGUGAAAUUCGUAGAUAUUCGGAGGAACACCAGUGGCGAAGGCGGCUCACUGGCUCGAUACUGACGCUGAGGUGCGAAAGCGUGGGGAGCAAACAGGAUUAGAAACCCCUGUAGUCCCAUGAU